UCCGGUUUGUCACCGGCAGUCUGGCGUGAGUCCCCAACUUAAUGCUGGCAACACGCCACGGGGGUUGCGCUCGUUGAUGGACUUAACCAAACAUCUCACGACACGAGCUGACGACGGCCAUGCAUCACCUGUCACUUGGCUCAAUAAAGCACUUUUUCCUUUCGGAAAAAUUCCAAGGAUGUCAAGCCUGGGUAAGGUUCUUCGCUUACCAUCGAAUUAAACAACACGCUCCACCGCUUGUGCGGGUCCCCGUCAAUUCCUUUAUGUUUUAAGCUUGCGCUCGUACUCCACAGGCGGGAUGCUUAACGCGUUAGCUUCGCUACUAGAGGGGUCGAUACCUCUAACAGCUAGCAUCCAUAGUUUACGGCGUGGACUAC
Molecule: unclassified non-coding RNA, 377 nt
Filed under: uncultured bacterium
Lineage: Bacteria
Description: contains 16S-23S intergenic spacer region
Source: RNAcentral